This 504-nucleotide ribosomal RNA is filed under the name uncultured bacterium. Its description in RNAcentral is "bacterial SSU rRNA". It matches the Rfam family "Bacterial small subunit ribosomal RNA", at positions 15 to 507 of the family's 1533-position model. The record is from RNAcentral.
GAUCAUGGCUCAGGAUGAACGCUAGCUACAGGCUUAACACAUGCAAGGUCGAGGGGCAGCAUGAACUUAGCUUGCUAAGUUUGAUGGCGACCGGCGCACGGGUGAGUAACACGUAUCCAAACCUGCCGAUGACUCGGGGAUAGCCUUUCGAAAGAAAGAUUAAUACCCGAUGGCAUAAUUCUUCCGCAUGGUAGAACUAUUAAAGAAUUUCGGUCAUCGAUGGGGAUGCGUUCCAUUAGGUUGUUGGCGGGGUAACGGCCCACCUAGUCUUCGAUGGAUAGGGGUUCUGAGAGGAAGGUCCCCCACAUUGGAACUGAGACACGGUCCAAACUCCUACGGGAGGCAGCAGUGAGGAAUAUUGGUCAAUGGACGAGAGUCUGAACCAGCCAAGUAGCGUGCAGGAUGACGGCCCUAUGGGUUGUAAACUGCUUUUAUAAGGGAAUAAAGUGGGAGUCGUGACUCUUUUUGCAUGUACCUUAUGAAUAAGGACCGGCUAAUUCCGUG